GGCUCCGUUGACAAACUGGUUAAGUCGCCAGACUUUCAAUCUGGUUAUUGCGGGUUCGAGCCCCGUCGGAGUCACCA
Molecule: transfer RNA, 77 nt
Filed under: Paenibacillus thiaminolyticus
Lineage: Bacteria; Bacillati; Bacillota; Bacilli; Caryophanales; Paenibacillaceae
Description: tRNA-Glu
Rfam family: tRNA
About the family: Transfer RNA (tRNA) molecules are approximately 80 nucleotides in length. Their secondary structure includes four short double-helical elements and three loops (D, anti-codon, and T loops). Further hydrogen bonds mediate the characteristic L-shaped molecular structure. tRNAs have two regions of fundamental functional importance: the anti-codon, which is responsible for specific mRNA codon recognition, and the 3' end, to which the tRNAs corresponding amino acid is attached (by aminoacyl-tRNA synthetases). tRNAs cope with the degeneracy of the genetic code in two manners: having more than one tRNA (with a specific anti-codon) for a particular amino acid; and 'wobble' base-pairing, i.e. permitting non-standard base-pairing at the 3rd anti-codon position.
Source: RNAcentral